RNAcentral lists this non-coding RNA (29 nucleotides) under Rattus norvegicus (Norway rat). Lineage: Eukaryota; Metazoa; Chordata; Mammalia; Rodentia; Muridae. The record is from RNAcentral.
AACACAUGCUAGUGCCUUUCAGUGUAUGA